UCGGAAUCUGGGAGGACCAUCUCCUAAGGCUAAAUACUCUCUAGUGACCGAUAGUGAACCAGUACCGUGAGGGAAAGGUGAAAAGCACCCCGGAAGGGGAGUGAAAUAGAACCUGAAACCGUGUGCUUACAAGUAGUCAGAGCCCGUUAAUGGGUGAUGGCGUGCCUUUUGUAGAAUGAACCGGCGAGUUACGAUUUGAUGCAAGGUUAAGCAGUAAAUGUGGAGCCGUAGCGAAAGCGAGUCUGAAUAGGGCGUUUAGUAUUUGGUCGUAGACCCGAAACCAGGUGAUCUACCCUUGGUCAGGUUGAAGUUCAGGUAACACUGAAUGGAGGACCGAACCGACUUACGUUGAAAAGUGAGCGGAUGAACUGAGGGUAGCGGAGAAAUUCCAAUCGAACCUGGAGAUAGCUGGUUCUCUCCGAAAUAGCUUUAGGGCUAGCCUCAAGUGAUGAUUAUUGGAGGUAGAGCACUGUUUGGACGAGGGGCCCCUCUCGGGUUACCGAAUUCAGACAAACUCCGAAUGCCAAUUAAUUUAACUUGGGAGUCAGAACAUGGGUGAUAAGGUCCGUGUUCGAAAGGGAAACAGCCCAGACCACCAGCUAAGGUCCCAAAAUAUAUGUUAAGUGGAAAAGGAUGUGGCGUUGCCCAGACAACUAGGAUGUUGGCUUAGAAGCAGCCAUCAUUUAAAGAGUGCGUAAUAGCUCACUAGUCGAGUGACACUGCGCCGAAAAUGUACCGGGGCUAAACAUAUUACCGAAGCUGUGGAUUGUCCUUUGGACAAUGGUAGGAGAGCGUUCUAAGGGCGUUGAAGCAUGAUCGUAAGGACAUGUGGAGCGCUUAGAAGUGAGAAUGCCGGUGUGAGUAGCGAAAGACGGGUGAGAAUCCCGUCCACCGAUUGACUAAGGUUUCCAGAGGAAGGCUCGUCCGCUCUGGGUUAGUCGGGUCCUAAGCUGAGGCCGACAGGCGUAGGCGAUGGAUAACAGGUUGAUAUUCCUGUACCACCUAUAAUCGUUUUAAUCGAUGGGGGGACGCAGUAGGAUAGGCGAAGCGUGCGAUUGGAUUGCACGUCUAAGCAGUAAGGCUGAGUAUUAGGCAAAUCCGGUACUCGUUAAGGCUGAGCUGUGAUGGGGAGAAGACAUUGUGUCUUCGAGUCGUUGAUUUCACACUGCCGAGAAAAGCCUCUAGAUAGAAAAUAGGUGCCCGUACCGCAAACCGACACAGGUAGUCAAGAUGAGAAUUCUAAGGUGAGCGAGCGAACUCUCGUUAAGGAACUCGGCAAAAUGACCCCGUAACUUCGGGAGAAGGGGUGCUCUUUAGGGUUAACGCCCAGAAGAGCCGCAGUGAAUAGGCCCAAGCGACUGUUUAUCAAAAACACAGGUCUCUGCUAAACCGUAAGGUGAUGUAUAGGGGCUGACGCCUGCCCGGUGCUGGAAGGUUAAGAGGAGUGGUUAGCUUCUGCGAAGCUACGAAUCGAAGCCCCAGUAAACGGCGGCCGUAACUAUAACGGUCCUAAGGUAGCGAAAUUCCUUGUCGGGUAAGUUCCGACCCGCACGAAAGGCGUAACGAUUUGGGCACUGUCUCAACGAGAGACUCGGUGAAAUCAUAGUACCUGUGAAGAUGCAGGUUACCCGCGACAGGACGGAAAGACCCCGUGGAGCUUUACUGUAGCCUGAUAUUGAAAUUCGGCACAGCUUGUACAGGAUAGGUAGGAGCCUUUGAAACGUGAGCGCUAGCUUACGUGGAGGCGCUGGUGGGAUACUACCCUAGCUGUGUUGGCUUUCUAACCCGCACCACUUAUCGUGGUGGGAGACAGUGUCAGGCGGGCAGUUUGACUGGGGCGGUCGCCUCCUAAAAGGUAACGGAGGCGCUCAAAGGUUCCCUCAGAAUGGUUGGAAAUCAUUCAUAGAGUGUAAAGGCAUAAGGGAGCUUGACUGCGAGACCUACAAGUCGAGCAGGGUCGAAAGACGGACUUAGUGAUCCGGUGGUUCCGCAUGGAAGGGCCAUCGCUCAACGGAUAAAAGCUACCCCGGGGAUAACAGGCUUAUCUCCCCCAAGAGUUCACAUCGACGGGGAGGUUUGGCACCUCGAUGUCGGCUCAUCGCAUCCUGGGGCUGUAGUCGGUCCCAAGGGUUGGGCUGUUCGCCCAUUAAAGCGGUACGCGAGCUGGGUUCAGAACGUCGUGAGACAGUUCGGUCCCUAUCCGUCGUGGGCGUAGGAAAUUUGAGAGGAGCUGUCCUUAGUACGAGAGGACCGGGAUGGACAUACCUCUGGUGUACCAGUUGUCGUGCCAACGGCAUAGCUGGGUAGCUAUGUGUGGACGGGAUAAGUGCUGAAAGCAUCUAAGCAUGAAGCCCCCCUCAAGAUGAGAUUUCCCAACUUCGGUUAUAAGAUCCCUCAAAGAUGAUGAGGUUAAUAGGUUCGAGGUGGAAGCAUGGUGACAUGUGGAGCUGACGAAUACUAA
RNAcentral lists this ribosomal RNA (2461 nucleotides) under Staphylococcus aureus. RNAcentral's name for it is "partial 23S ribosomal RNA". It matches the Rfam family "Bacterial large subunit ribosomal RNA", at positions 437 to 2904 of the family's 2925-position model. The record is from RNAcentral. Lineage: Bacteria; Bacillati; Bacillota; Bacilli; Caryophanales; Staphylococcaceae.